Long non-coding RNA from Fopius arisanus, 1072 nucleotides. RefSeq lists it as uncharacterized. The record is from RefSeq and is a predicted model, not a curated record. NCBI's taxonomy places the organism in Eukaryota, Metazoa, Arthropoda, Insecta, Hymenoptera, Braconidae. The transcript is spliced from 6 exons.
AACACUUUUGGAGAGUGCACUAUCCGCGGAACCAGAGAGGGUGAAAGUGGACGAGGGUCUGGAGACAAAAAAAAAGUUCCGGGGCUUGGAAAAAAGGAACUUUGAAAAAUCAAAAUGAGCGAGAGGACGAAGACGAGAGAAGAAUUACAAACCAUUUCAAUCGCAAUUCCAAUUUCAUUCUGGCCAAUCCCCACUCCGACGAUCUUCUGCCCUUUGAUCCCGCAAAUUCAUAGAAGAUGUUGCACACACUCUCUGGUCCAUAUCUGGAACUUCUUCAAUAGUUACACUAGCAUCCAUUACCAGAUCCCUUUGAUCUUGUCUAAAAGGCUUACAUUGAGUCACUUUUUUGGACGGAGGAUAUUACCGAGUCGCCAAGGGGACGACGAAAAAUAUGGAGUUGAGGGAAAUAGUUAACAAACAUGAGAAAUUACGAAUGGAAAAAAUAAUCCAGGAGAAAUAAAUGGAGGACGUGGAGGCAGGAGAGAACGGUGGAAAAUGAGGGGCUGAGGGAAUGGCUUGAGAGGGGGAGAAUUUUUGACUUCGCCUCGGAUAUCCGACAAGAUGAAUCGGCGUUUCCGGGAUCACCAGGAGCAACAGUCCCUGGGUUGUUCACUUACCCUCAAGUCCACCCUCGACUGCACACACAUGCAACGAGAGAGUACGGCACGUAUCUGAGUGUCGAGAAACGUAAGCUGAGAGGCCACCCCCAGGGGCUUUAACCACUUCCAUUCGCCUAAGUAGGUCUAGUUCAAGGUCUCGAUGCUACGGUCAAGCAGGAAAAGGUUAAAGCGAAUCAUCCGAAAUAGCCCGUUCCACUGCUCCCAUUUAUCCUAGGGGGAAUUCUACCGUGGUUAUGGAGAUGUUACGUUCACACCACUGCACGACAAAGGACACUUUGCGUUAAGCGAAGGGCAAUUUUCAACUGAGCAAGCAGAUGACGGAGGUACGGAUACAUCGGGAAUUAUGGGAGGACAGUAGGAACGACUGGGGGAAGGAAUCAGGACUAAAGGCGCUAAUUGGCGCAAAUCGACGAUGUGAAUCUACUAUAUAUUUAUUCCUACCCAUCAUUUAC